CUCGUAGGCGGUGUGUCGCGUCGGUCGUGAAAACUUUCAGCUUAACUGGGAGCUUGCGGUCGAUACGGGCAUCACUGGAGUUCGGCAGGGGAGACUGGAAUUCCUGGUGUAGCGGUGAAAUGCGCAGAUAUCAGGAGGAACACCGGUGGCGAAGGCGGGUCUCUGGGCCGAUACUGACGCUGAGGAGCGAAAGCGUGGGGAGCGAACA
Molecule: ribosomal RNA, 208 nt
Filed under: uncultured bacterium
Lineage: Bacteria
Description: partial 16S ribosomal RNA
Rfam family: Bacterial small subunit ribosomal RNA
Source: RNAcentral